RNAcentral lists this ribosomal RNA (468 nucleotides) under uncultured bacterium. RNAcentral describes it as "partial 16S ribosomal RNA". It matches the Rfam family "Bacterial small subunit ribosomal RNA", at positions 28 to 507 of the family's 1533-position model. The record is from RNAcentral.
GACGAACGCUGGCGGCGUGCUUAACACAUGCAAGUCGAACGGAAAGGCCCUGCUUUUGUGGGGUGCUCGAGUGGCGAACGGGUGAGUAACACGUGAGUAACCUGCCCUUGACUUUGGGAUAACUUCAGGAAACUGGGGCUAAUACCGGAUAGGAGCUCCUGCUGCAUGGUGGGGGUUGGAAAGUUUCGGCGGUUGGGGAUGGACUCGCGGCUUAUCAGCUUGUUGGUGGGGUAGUGGCUUACCAAGGCUUUGACGGGUAGCCGGCCUGGGAGGGUGACCGGACAAAUUGGAACAGAGAUACGGCCCAGACUCCUACGGGAGGCAGCAGUGGGGAAUAUUGCACAAUGGGCGGAAGCCUGAUGCAGCAACGCCGCGUGCGGGAUGACGGCCUUCGGGUUGUAAACCGCUUUCGCCUGUGACGAAGAGUGAGUGACGGUAAUGGGUAAAGAAGCACCGGCUAACUACGUG